RNAcentral lists this ribosomal RNA (301 nucleotides) under uncultured bacterium. RNAcentral's name for it is "partial 16S ribosomal RNA". It matches the Rfam family "Bacterial small subunit ribosomal RNA", at positions 509 to 807 of the family's 1533-position model. The record is from RNAcentral.
CAGCCGCCGCGGGAAUACGUAGGGUCCGAGCGUUGUCCGGAAUUAUUGGGCGUAAAGCGUGCGUAGGUGGUGGUUUAAGUCCGUUGUGAAAGCCCUGGGCUCAACCUGGGAAUUGCAGUGGAUACUGGGUCACUAGAGUGUGGUAGAGGAUAGUGGAAUUUCCGGUGUUGCGGUGAAAUGCGUAGAUAUCGGAAGGAACACCUGUGGCGAAAGCGGCUCACUGGACCAUAACUGACGCUGAGGUGCGAAAGCGUGGGGAGCAAACAGGAUUAGAUACCCCAGUAGUCCCUGUCUCUUAUAC